This 256-nucleotide unclassified non-coding RNA is filed under the name plant metagenome. RNAcentral's name for it is "partial contains small subunit ribosomal RNA, internal transcribed spacer 1, and 5.8S ribosomal RNA". The stretch from base 1 to 54 matches the Rfam family "Eukaryotic small subunit ribosomal RNA", at positions 1778 to 1831 of the family's 1831-position model. The record is from RNAcentral.
GGAAGUAAAAGUCGUGACAAGGUUUCCGUAGGUGAACCUGCGGAAGGAUCAUUAAAGUUAUAGUCCCCCGGCCCUCUGGGCUGGGGACUUCUAUACCACCCUUUGUUUAUUACACCUUUGUUGCUUUGGCAGGCCUGCCCUCGGGCUGCUGGCUCCGGCCGGCUCGCGUCUGCCAGAGGACCUAAACUCUGUUUGUAUAUGAAGUCUGAGUACUAUAUAAUAGUUAAAACUUUCAACAACGGAUCUCUUGGUUCUG